AAAAAAGACUAGAAUUUCUAACGUGGAGGAUGCUGUAUCAUGUUCUGCUAUGGUGUUUUGUUUUAUUCUUAUUGUUUCUUCUGGGCGAGGGUUUCAAAUUAGCUAGCUGCUCCUAUGAAUGCUCAAGGAUGAGCUUCGCCAGCAACGUUUCUUUGACACAUCCUUAGAGGAUGGAGGCAAUGGAGCCUGCAAAGAUGCCUUUCUAGGAUCCG
Molecule: unclassified non-coding RNA, 212 nt
Filed under: Hevea brasiliensis (rubber tree)
Lineage: Eukaryota; Viridiplantae; Streptophyta; Magnoliopsida; Malpighiales; Euphorbiaceae
Source: RNAcentral